This 1150-nucleotide long non-coding RNA is filed under the name Phoenix dactylifera (date palm). Its description in RNAcentral is "long non-coding RNA (PDAC_LNC010059)". The record is from RNAcentral. Lineage: Eukaryota; Viridiplantae; Streptophyta; Magnoliopsida; Arecales; Arecaceae.
AGGGGGCUUGUCUGUGUUUGUCAGUGGGUGGGUGGGGGUUCAAGUAUGCUCAUGUUAGGCUGGACCAACUAAGAGUUAGGGGCUAGAAGCACUUGCAUCGCUUCUCCCAAUCCCCGAAAUUUGACUUUGGCAUCCCCUAGACAAGGAGACAAAAGCUCUGUUUUCAUUUCAUAGUUGCCAUCAUGGAAAAUGGAUUCGAGAAACAAUGCAAAAACAGGAAGCAGGAAACAAAGGUAUUAAAAAAACAAAAAGGAUCUUAAAGCAGGAAGAGUUAUGAAAGGUUACAUGGAAGAAUACUCAUAAAGAAACUAAACACAAAUAACUAAGAAACUUAGUCAUAUCUAUAAGUAGCUUAAUGGAACAAACAUAUAAUCUUUAAGAAACCAAAGGGGAAACUAUCAAUAAAACUGGUCCAGGGUGUUGGGCAGUUGCAGCAGUGCAGAGUGGGACAGCAACAUCCAUGAAGAAGGGGGACAGCAGUAGCAAUAUUUGACCACAACCCAUUCCUCCUAGCACCUCUCUUUCUAACAGAUUUUCAAUUUUUUAACUUGAAGUUUUUAGGCUUUUCUUUGAGGAAAAGUUUUAAGCAAAUUUUGCACUCUUUCUUCUAACAUAAAAGACAAUAAAGAUGAAAUAAAGGAAAAAGUACUGGUGGGAGAAGGAAGUAAAAUAGGAACAAUUUGCUAGAUAAGUGGAAAGCCGAUGAUAAUGGAAUGUAAACAGGUUUGGUUUGAAUUCUCUUUCCUUAGCUUUCUGGUCCAAUUUUAUCUAGCUCUAGUUAAAGGAAAUCUGUUAUUGGAAAGUUGUGGAGUGAUUGAUUAAAACCCCUAUUUGAUUUUGAUGAGCUCAAAGCAGUUGAGUAUAUCUUAUGUUUACUAAUGAAUUCAAUUAAGUGUUUCAAUGAAAAUCGUGUCUAAGUGUUUCUAGACUUGGUUCAAGAUAUUUUGGAUAAGGUAUGAAGUCAGUUUGAACCAAAGUCUGAGACUCGAGUCGACUCCAGGAUAUUACGAGUCGACUCCAAGUGUAUCAGAAUCACUGGCACGGGCUCGAGUCGACUCCAGACCAGUACGAGUCGACUCCGACUGAGAACAGACAGACGAACAGAAAGCAUCAACUUAAAACCUGUCAGCGAGUCGACUCCUGAAGUGCG